Long non-coding RNA from Triticum dicoccoides, 1317 nucleotides. RefSeq lists it as uncharacterized. The record is from RefSeq and is a predicted model, not a curated record. The transcript has 8 exons. Lineage: Eukaryota; Viridiplantae; Streptophyta; Magnoliopsida; Poales; Poaceae.
CUCUCGUCCCUUCGCCGCCGCCCUCCCAUCGAUACGCCGCCGAUCCCUGCGGAGCUUCCCUCCCCAAUCCGAUCUGACAGAGAGAGUGCUAGAUCCGGCCGGAGGAGCCGCCAUAGAGCCUCCACGUCGGUGGAGCAGCACCUCCUGCCACGGACGCCGUCGCCACCUCCUGCCUUACGACCCUUUGCCCUGACUCCGUCCCCAAGCGCCGCUCCCGCACGCAACCCUAACCCUAGCCCGCCAUGCCCCGCUGCCUCGCCGCUUGAGCCGCGCUGAUGGAGCCUGAGCAGCGGUGGCCGACCCCGUCGCCGCCGCCGAGCCAGUGGACGAGGAGAAGGAGAAGGAGGAGGAGACGGAGGCGGUCGAGGAUGAGGAGAACACGCUGCUGGACCGUGCACAGCCUGAUCCGACGGGUCCCUUUGCACAUGUGCAGUUCGUCAAUGGACCAAUGCCUAAUCUCCCCAAGGUUGAUGUUUCACUGGACCCGGUGAAGGAGUUGAGCAGAGUAAUAUCUGAGCGAAAAUUUUGAGGGGCGUGCCUUGGUUGUGCUCUCAGCCAGGUUAUUUUACGAGGGUUGUGUGCACUGAACCCCAUUUCUCUGGAUCAAGGGACGGUGAACAAGAUGGGAAUGAGGAGGAUGCGACCUAUAGAUGGUUGCUAUGGAUCGGGAGGUUGAUACUGAACAUCAGUUUACUACCAAUCCGGAGUAGUAAUAUUGGAUUACAGGCCAUGGGUUAACUAAUACAUGCAUCAGCUUUGUAUCAUAAAGAUUUCACCAUCCCAAGGUAAUGGAAAUAAGUUCACAAGAUUCUCAUGUUGAGGUCUGUACAAAGAGAUACAUGGCAAUGUCUGUGUGCUGAAAGGAGAAACUCACUGUCAAAGCUAUAAUCCCUGAUGCUAAAGCCUGCAUGUUCAGAUCUGCAGAGUUUACUCAUAUUACUGUAUGAAUGAUUAAUACAGAGGGAGCCCUUUUGGCAGGUCAUUUAAUCAUUUAAUCGUAGGUACAUUAUCUCAGGAGUGCACAAGCGCGCCUACUCACGGAAUCGCCCAGCUCACGGAAUCGCCUAGCUCACGUUCUCCUCGGGAUAUGCCAUGAAGCUGUUAUUUCAUCUGUAUAGCACAUGGCUGGUCCCACGUGCAUGCUGAACGGCCGUUAAGGGAACGACGGCGUCAUGGUCAAAACGUCACGCGACUUCGGAUGCAAAACGGCACGUAACAUUGAUGUAUGUAUGCACGUGAGCACCCUAGGUGGGGUCACUACGUGAUUACAUUAUAUUUAUUUUUGCGGGGUCUGAUAAGAUUAUACUUAAUUGAGGA